Molecule: long non-coding RNA, 715 nt
Filed under: Pongo abelii (Sumatran orangutan)
Lineage: Eukaryota; Metazoa; Chordata; Mammalia; Primates; Hominidae
Description: lincRNA
Source: RNAcentral
CUGAGACAGCAGUUGCUGAUACCACAAACACUUAUCUGCUGUUUCUGUGGUCUGGCUGAGCCAAAAAAACCUGUUAAAGCACAGAGCCCACCCAAGACAGGGUAUUUGCAGGAGACCCUGCCAACAGAAAUCGGAUAACAAGGAGCUAAAGAGCCUAGUGGGAGGUGAUUGGAUCAUGGGAGCAGAGUUCUCAUGGAUGGUUUAGCAUUAUCCCCUUGGUGCUGUCUUUGCGGUACUUCUAGCAAGAUCUGGCUUUUUAAAGUAUCAGCUGGAGUUGGCGAUGACUCAGCAGAUCAGGGCUGGAAGACUCAUUCUCGUCAGAUGGUUGACGUUGGCUGUCAGUUGGAACCUCAGCUGGGGCUGUUCGCUGGAACACCUACACACGGCAUGUCCAUGGAGCUACUUGACUUCCUCACUACAAUGGCUGGGUUCCAAGAGCAGUUAUCCCAAGAGAACAAGGCAGAAGUGCAUGACUUUUAGAAUCUUGUCUCACAAGUCACACAGAGUCACUUCCACCAUCCCCUGUUGGUCAAGGAGGACAUGAAGGUCUUCCUAGGAGCAUGGGGAGAAGACAGACUCUACCACCUGAUGGAAGGAGUGUCAGUGUUACAUAGCAAGAGAAGCACAUGGGAUGGGAUGUAUCGUGAUGCCCAUCUUUGGAACAGACAAUUUAGCACAUCUGUGAAAAUUAAAAGUCUGAUUUGGAUAUAACAAU